RNAcentral lists this ribosomal RNA (464 nucleotides) under uncultured bacterium. RNAcentral's name for it is "partial 16S ribosomal RNA". It matches the Rfam family "Bacterial small subunit ribosomal RNA", at positions 338 to 795 of the family's 1533-position model. The record is from RNAcentral.
CCUACGGGAGGCAGCAGUAGGGAAUUUUCGUCAAUGGGCGCAAGCCUGAACGAGCAAUGCCGCGUGAACGAGGAAGGUCUUCGGAUCGUAAAGUUCUGUUGAAGGGGAAGAGGAGCGGAGAGAGGAAAUGAACUCCGAUUGAUAUUACCCUUCGAGGACGUCACGGCUAACUACGUGCCAGCAGCCGCGGUAAUACGUAGGUGGCGAGCGUUAUCCGGAUUGAUUGGGCGGAAAGGGUGCGUAGGCGGCCUGCUAAGUCUGGAGUGAAAGGUACCGGCUCAACCGGUAUAGGCUCUGGAAACUGGCGGGCUAGAGAGCAGGAGAGGGCGGUGGAACUCCAUGUGUAGCGGUAAAAUGCGUAGAUAUAUGGAAGAACACCAGUGGCGAAGGCGGCCGCCUGGCCUGUUACUGACGCUGAUGCACGAAAGCGUGGGGAGCAAAUAGGAUUAGAUACCCCAGUAGUC